This 330-nucleotide ribosomal RNA is filed under the name uncultured bacterium. RNAcentral describes it as "bacterial SSU rRNA". It matches the Rfam family "Bacterial small subunit ribosomal RNA", at positions 568 to 898 of the family's 1533-position model. The record is from RNAcentral.
UUCGUAGGCGGUGCGGCAAGUUGGGAGUGAAAUCUCUGGGCUUAACCCAGAGGCUGCUUCCAAAACUGCUGUGCUUGAGUGUGGGAGAGGCGCGUGGAAUUGCAGGUGUAGCGGUGAAAUGCGUAGAUAUCUGCAGGAACACCCGUGGCGAAAGCGGCGCGCUGGACCACAACUGACGCUGAGGAACGAAAGCUAGGGGAGCAAACAGGAUUAGAUACCCUGGUAGUCCUAGCCCUAAACGAUCAGGACUUGGGGUGCCGCCCGUUCGGGCGUCGUCCCGGAGCUAACGCGUUAAGUCCUGCACCUGGGGAGUACGGUCGCAAGACUGAA